GGAGGCCAUUCACUCCCUGCUCUGAGACCCGGAUUGACAGCUGCUCCUCAUUGCAACAGCCGCAGAGGCUUCCUCCAGGCUGGAGAGCAGGCAGAUCAGGACAAGGGGUCUGAAAACUAGCAUGGGGUGCCCUCCCGGGCUCAGGAGUGCGGAGCUCAUGGCCUGCCUUUGCUUCCAAGGGAUGCUUUUGUGUCUGUGGCUAGAGUGUGCAUGUGCUCACACUGUUAUCUGCUCAGCUGGUGAGGAUGUCCCCGCUCUGCCUGCCAGUGCCUGCAUGCCUGCAUGUGUGCAUGUGCACGUGCACAUGCCUUUGAUAAUUUGUAUGUAACCACGGAUGGGUCAGGUGAUGGUGAUCCUCAGUGAGUCUGUGCCCAAGUGGGCAUCAGGGUGUGAUGGUGGCUGGGCAUGACUACUCAUGUAGACAGCUUUGUGGCUGUGUGCACGUGUUGCUGUGCCUAGUGUCUAACUGUAUGUGGUUGUAUUAUAGGGAUGUGAGGCUGGCUACCUGGAAGGGUCGCUCUGGGGGCUUUGUCCAAAUAUAGCUAUCUGUGUGUAGCUAUGUAUUUGUGUACAGCUUUAUGUGUGUGGUUGUGGUUCAUGUGUAAAGCUGUUUUUCUGUGUCCAUGUGUAAAGCUUUAAGUCUGUGGACAUGUCUAUAUGUACAGCUACAUAUGUGUCCAUGUGUAUAGCUGUGUGUGUGGUUUUGCAUUCUGCUGUUUGUAUGGCCUUAUUCACAUGUAUAGCUCUGCAUGUAAGACUGGGUGUCUGUCUUUGUGUGCACAGCUGGAAGUGGUGGCUGCAUAGCUGGGUGUGUAACUACACAUCUGUGUGCUGCCUCUGGACUGCAGCUCAUUUGCUGCAGGCCAAGUAAUGGGCCACUCAGGCUUGCGCUGCAUUGAAAGCCCCAUGUCUCUUGUGAGGCUGCCUUGGUGAGUGGACUGGGAUUGUUGUGCAGCUCCCCUCACCUCAGCACCUUACUGCUCUCAACCCCUCUGCUCCAGGGGCCCAGCCCAUCACUCGCUUACCCUAGGGAGAAGUUGCUCUGUAGCUGCCAGAGUGGGUGAGAGCACCAGGAGCCUGAAGACAGCAUGUCUGUCUCACCAGCCCUGUCUGACAGCUCUGAACCCUCAUCCUGCUGCCACCUUGCCUCCUAUUAGUGAUGGAGUUUGAGUUUGUUGGGGUUCGAUGUGUUGGUCUGUUUCACAGCUGUGCUCUUUCCCAAGCAGUAGGGCAUUAGGCUUCUGUGUCCAGAGGAAAAGCCUUACCUUCCUUGAUGAAAACCCUCUGUGCUCCCCUUCCCCAAUGACCAAACUCACAUGUAGGUGUGUGUACCAGAGGGACCUGGGCUUAGUGUGUGCUCACUUGCUCAUGUGUCUGAGCUAGCCUUGCCUCUACUGACACCUGUGGAAGAAAGGCCUGCACCAGGGGAACAUGUGUAGAGAUGCUGUGCCCCUUAGCACUUCGUGUUUGUGUGCUAUGGCUCUGGGACUAAUUCUGGGUGCAGGCUCCCUCCCCAAAUCCUUCAGCACAGUCUGGUAUUGCAGAUUACCCACCACUACCUCCCCAGGGGCAUUCUUCCCCACCCUGCAACAGAAGGGAAAAAGAGUCAAGAACAUCUCCUCAGAGCUGUCCUCCCUCUGCUUAGGCUCCAGCUCUCAUUCCCUCCUACGCAGCAGCCAGUUUCAGGAGCCUCUUCCCCAGCCCCCUUCCCUCCCAGAUCCCCCUGCCAGCCCCAGCUUGUCCCUCAGGGUUGACUGUUAUCCCUGGUCCUAUAGGCCCCCCCUCCCCAUGUUGCUGUCUCUUUUCCUUUGCACAUGAGACUGGAGGUUAGUGGAGGGGUGGGGGAAAGUCACUGCUUUGUUUGUGGGGGGCAGGGGGAGUAAUAUCUCUAAAGGUCAUCUGCAGGAGGGAAGAAAAGGUCCCACCCUCCUCGGACCUCACCCUCCCCACCCCAUUUUUUCCUCCUAGUGACUCAGGCCCUAGCUUUCACUUGGUGCUGAAGACACAUGCCCUCACGCCAGGCCUGGCAUGUGGACUGACUGCAGUGCAUGGGUGGGCAGAAUGGAUGUGAGGACAGGCCAUCCACCUGUCUCCCACGUGCCCCUUUACUUACCUCCAGUGACAGCCCACAACUCUAGAACCAACUCGGCUGCUCUCAGAGAUGGAAGCCCAUAGCACUGUGUGCACCUCCGGGGCUCAAUGACCUUCCCAGCCCCUUGCCCUAUGCCCGCUGCUUUCUGGGACGCAGUCUGACUUGAGCAGAGGGGGCCAAAAGGCACCUGCUCCAGCACAGAGCGCGAGCACCCAGAGAUUCAGCACCACGCGGUGGACAGCUCCGGGCUGGUGGUCCUGAAGUAGAGGGGAGGCUGAAGGAGUCCGAAAGGAGGCGGAGGCCAGGUUGGGCGCGGGAGAUCUGGAGGAGGAAUGGAGGAGGGGCUGGGGGCGGGCCGGGGCCGGGGGCGGGGCGGGCUGCGAUUGAAAGCGCCAGUUGAGCGGGCGGCAUAGAGCACAGAGCCGCGGAGCUAGCAAGCGAGCGAGGGAGCUAUCGGGAGCUGGAAACCCGCGCCCCCGGCUCCUCUCCGUUUCUCGCCGUGCCAGAGCCAGGUGCGCAAGGUAGGAUAAGCCGGGUGGUGCCGCAGCCGCCGCAGACCUUAUCGAUCCUGACCCCACGUCCGGGAGUCCCUGGGGCCCUCGAGCUCAGGGGCUAGCUAGAGCGUCCAGACCGUGCUCACCAGGAGCUGCGAAAAGCGGGAAGAGAGCCCCCCGUGUUCCGCUUUUCUUCCCCAAAGAACGCACACCCUGCAUCUAGCUCCCUCAUUCCUUCUGCCCCUCCGUCCUUUGGUCAGUGUUUCUAUCUGUGCCUCUGUCUUUGUCUCAGCCUCUCAGGCUCCAUCGCUCCCUCCCCGAAUUUUGUGGUCCAGGCCCCCAGCUGCCCUCUUUUAGGAUUCUCUCCCCCUUUAGGGUUCCGUCCCUGUUAGAGCUCUGGUCCUAGGUGCCCCCGUGGGAAGCUCAUGGUCUUGACCUGUUUGGGCCUCAGCCCCCAUCUGGGUCCCUGUGUUGGUCUUCAUGCUUGCCUCUCUCCUGUUUGUCUGCUUGAGCUGCUUCUUUCUGGGUAUCCACAGGAUCACAGUCCCCCUGGCCUGGCCUGGUCCCAGUGGGAGAUUAACCCUGGGGAGUUGAGGGGGCAAAAUGAAGAGCCCAGUCUCUGUGGACAGGGCCUGGGGUCCUUGAACUAGUUCUGCCCUUCUUCAGGCUCAGUUUCCCUCUCCUAGCCUUCCCAAGCCUGUGUGAUUUUGAGAUCCUAUGUGAGAUGGGUGCCUGGGAGGGCAGCUGGAGCACAAAUGAUGAGGUGCAGAGUGGGAAAGGGAGACAGGGUCUCUGAGGGCCAGGACCAGGGUAAACAGGGCCCUGAGGUUGAGGAUGGGGAAACUAGAGAUCGUGAUUUUUCUCUGCUUGAUUCUGAGCUGAGGAGAAAACAAAAGCAAAAAGUCUCAAACGUCAUUCAACAUAGAGCUAAAAUGUCCAAAAAGUCUCACCUUGAGCUGUUUUGUAAUCUUGACCAGACAAACUGCCCCCAACCCAUGAUACACACAUACAGUCUCAUCUACUUUCCCUAUUGAUUUUAGGAUCUGUGGCCACUUCACUGUCCCUCCCUGGGUCCAGCCUCUCUACCUUGCUUAACUUCCAGGGCCUAGAGACUAUUACUUCCUCAGUCAUGGAGCUCUGGGGAUGGCUUUUUAAGAACCAGAGGCCAAGGACACCCCCCCCCCCCGCCGCCUUGGGUGCUCACCAGGGCUCCAGUUUCCCUAGUGGUCAUAGACUAACUACCCUUUAGAGGGUCUUCCUUCCCUCUUCCCUGGUGGGUUCUCCACCAGCAAUAGCUCCUCUCUGGAAACCUAAGGCUCAGGGUGGGGACUGGACCCCUAAGUUUGUCACUGUGACCUGCUGCAAAGCUGUUGACUUUGGGGUCCCAGGAGGUUUGUGCAGGGUGUUGGACAUUCUUCUAAGUCUCCUGUUUUCUCUUUGGGCCUCUACUCUCUGCAGCCCUGCAUCUCUGCUAAAUUUGGGAUGGGCACAGAGCCCAUCUCCAGUCCCAUAUCAGAGCAGGCCUGUGAGACAGGCCCAAGGGUAUGUCCCAGGAGUUUAGUCUAAUUAGGAAAACCACCUCUCCAUGGCUCCUUAGCCCCAGGGAAAGGAGUUUAGGGGAGGCAGAGUCAGAAGGGGUAGCCACCCUCGGGUUCCACUUCUCCCCUACCUGUUUGUCUGUCUUUCUUUCUCUGCAGGAGCUGGGUCUCUCCUCAUCCUCUUCCUGUCUGUCCUUUCCUGGUCCUUUUCCAAUUCUCUUUGCCUUUGCUGCUUCUACCUUCAUCUCCUGGAGGCCCAGGUCUGCUGGACCCAUCCAUCCCCUUUGGGGCCAUGGGAUCACUGCUUGGGCUCCUGGCUCUCCUGCUGCUGUGGGGUGCUGUGGCUGAGGGCCCAGCCAAGAAGGUGCUGACCCUGGAGGGGGACCUGGUUCUGGGUGGGCUGUUUCCUGUACAUCAGAAGGGCAGCCUGGCAGAGGAGUGUGGUCCUGUCAAUGAACAUCGCGGCAUCCAGCGCCUAGAGGCCAUGCUUUUUGCACUAGAUCGUAUCAACCGAGACCCGAGCCUACUGCCAGGUGUGCGCCUGGGGGCACACAUACUCGACAGUUGCUCCAAGGACACACAUGCUCUGGAGCAGGCACUUGACUUCGUGCGUGCCUCACUCAGCCGUGGUGCCGAUGGCUCACGCCACAUUUGCCCCGACGGCUCUUAUGCCACCCAUGGUGAUGCUCCCACUGCCAUCACUGGUGUCAUUGGCGGCUCCUACAGUGAUGUCUCCAUCCAGGUGGCCAACCUCCUGCGCCUAUUUCAGAUCCCCCAGAUCAGCUAUGCCUCCACCAGUGCCAAGCUGAGUGACAAGUCCCGCUAUGACUACUUCGCCCGUACAGUGCCCCCUGACUUCUUCCAAGCCAAAGCCAUGGCUGAGAUUCUCCGCUUCUUCAACUGGACCUAUGUGUCCACUGUGGCAUCUGAGGGUGACUAUGGUGAAACAGGCAUCGAAGCCUUUGAGCUAGAGGCCCGUGCCCGCAACAUCUGUGUGGCCACCUCGGAGAAGGUGGGCCGAGCCAUGAGCCGUGCGGCCUUUGAGGGAGUGGUACGAUCUCUGCUGCAGAAGCCCAGUGCCCGAGUGGCUGUCUUGUUCACCCGUUCUGAGGAUGCCCGUGAGCUCCUUGCUGCCACCCAACGCCUCAAUGCCAGCUUCACCUGGGUAGCCAGUGAUGGCUGGGGGGCCCUGGAGAGUGUGGUGGCAGGCAGCGAGGGUGCUGCUGAAGGCGCCAUCACCAUAGAGCUGGCUUCCUACCCCAUUAGUGACUUUGCCUCCUACUUCCGGAGUCUGGACCCCUGGAACAACAGUCGGAACCCCUGGUUCCGCGAGUUCUGGGAGCAGAGGUUCCGCUGCAGCUUCCGGCAGCGAGACUGUGCAUCCCACUCCCUGAAAGCUGUGCCCUUUGAGCAAGAGUCAAAGAUCAUGUUUGUGGUCAAUGCAGUGUAUGCCAUGGCCCACGCACUGCACAAUAUGCAUCGUGCCCUCUGCCCCAAUACCACCCACCUCUGUGAUGCAAUGCGGCCUGUCAAUGGGCGCCGCCUCUACAAAGACUUCGUGCUCAACGUCAAAUUUGAUGCCCCAUUCCGCCCAGCUGACACACACAGUGAGGUCCGCUUUGACCGCUUUGGUGAUGGCAUUGGUCGCUACAACAUCUUCACCUACCUGCGGGCCGGCAGUGGGCGCUAUCGCUACCAGAAGGUGGGCUACUGGGCAGAAGGCCUAACCUUGGAUACCAGCCUCAUCCCAUGGGCCUCACCCUCAGCUGGGCCCCUGCCUGCCUCUCGCUGCAGUGAGCCCUGCCUCCAGAAUGAGGUGAAGAGCGUGCAGCCUGGGGAGGUCUGCUGCUGGCUCUGCAUCCCCUGCCAGCCCUACGAGUACCGGCUGGAUGAGUUCACCUGUGCUGACUGUGGCCUGGGCUACUGGCCCAAUGCCAGCCUGACUGGCUGCUUCGAGCUGCCGCAGGAGUAUAUCCACUGGGGUGAUGCCUGGGCCUUGGGACCUGUCACCAUUGCCUGCCUGGGCGCCCUGGCCACCCUCUUUGUGCUGGGUGUCUUCGUGCGGCACAAUGCCACCCCAGUGGUCAAAGCCUCCGGCCGGGAGCUCUGCUACAUCCUGCUGGGUGGCGUCUUCCUCUGCUACUGCAUGACCUUCGUCUUCAUUGCCAAGCCAUCCACAGCAGUGUGCACCCUACGCCGCCUAGGUUUGGGCACUGCAUUCUCAGUCUGCUACUCAGCCCUGCUCACCAAGACCAACCGCAUUGCACGUAUCUUUGGUGGGGCCCGAGAGGGAGCCCAGAGGCCACGCUUCAUCAGCCCUGCCUCUCAGGUGGCCAUCUGCCUAGCCCUUAUCUCAGGCCAGCUGCUCAUCGUGGCCACCUGGCUAGUAGUGGAGGCACCAGGCACGGGCAAGGAGACAGCCCCUGAGCGGCGGGAGGUGGUGACAUUGCGCUGUAACCACCGAGAUGCUAGCAUGUUGGGCUCACUGGCCUAUAAUGUACUCCUCAUUGCGCUCUGCACGCUCUACGCCUUCAAGACUCGCAAGUGCCCAGAGAACUUCAAUGAGGCCAAGUUCAUUGGCUUCACCAUGUACACCACCUGCAUCAUCUGGCUGGCCUUUCUGCCCAUCUUCUAUGUCACCUCCAGUGACUACCGGGUGAGCUACCAGCAAGGAGGCGGGGAAGGAGGGCAGAGCCAGACACAGGACCCUCUGUUUCCUGGUAUCAUUUAAUCUUCUUAUAACUUUGAGGCUUCAACAGGUUUAGUGCUCACCCAAGGCACACAGCUUGUGGUGGCCCAGUUGGGACUGGAUCCCAGAGGAAUGUGGAAAAGCUGAGUGGGGCCUGGGGAAAUGGCUAUGGAGGUGGAGGAAUUAGAGCUGAGAAGAGAUUUUAGGGCUCAGAGAUCAUCUCCUAACCCUGCAGGAGGUGGAGGUGUGGAAAUAAGUCCAAAUGAGCAGAGGCUCUACCCUGCUCUACUGAGGAGCUGGUUGCAGAAGAGGUGACCUAGUCUCUGCUCUUGUGGAAUUCCUGCACCAGCAGGGUGAUUGACCAAAGAGCUGCUGACUGGUUUAGGUUGACAAAGGUCCCAGUGAGAAUACAGAAAAGGGAAGUGUGUAGGUGGUGGUGGUAAUGGGGUGUGUGUGUGUGUGUGUGUGUGUGUGUGUGUGUAGGGAGUUGGGGAGGGCUUCUUGGAAGAGGAGUCCUUGAACUGGACUCUACAACAUAGGAAAGUUGGAAUAGAUAGGGUGGAGGAGGUAGCAGAGGACAGCCAAAACAUGCUGAUUGGAGUGGAGGGUCUGCAUUGUACCCCUAUCCCUGAGUUGAGGUGGGGAGGCAUACACAGUGGAAAGGUAGGCAGAAGUGAGAGGGAAGCAGGAAUGAGAAUUGCAGGGCUAUCGAGCCAGCGGCCCCAGAGGGUACCAUGCUCUGAUGCCCUUUGGAGCUGUGCAGUAUGGCAUGGUGCCCUCAGAGCUUUGCAACCCUAGGGUUGAGAAAUGAAACUAGAAUGAGCAGGAAAGGUGAAGCAGAGAAGGGGAGGAAUCUGGGGUUAGGGUUCAGAAAGGUCAAAGCAGGUGAAAACUGUACCCUAGUUGGUGACUUCUAAGCAAAAUCCCAACUGGCACUGAGUGCUCAAUGGGUCUUCUCAGCUUCUAGGGGCAAUGGCUGCUUUAGAUGGGGUGGUUGGAGAAGGCCUCUCUGAGAAGGUAACAGGUUAGCUGAGCUCUGAAUACUAAGAAGAUAAUCUUUGUUAAUCCUCAUGACUCAGGAGUAAACUCCAUGGCUCUCCCCAUUUUACAGAUGAAGAAUCGGAGACUCAGGGAGGUUCAAUCCCUUGCCUAAGUUCACUCAGCUUGGGAAUAUAGAGCAGGGUCUGAACUGACAAUCUUAACAAUUAAAGGAGCAGGAAAAUCGAGGCAAGAGCCCCUGCAAAGGCCCUUUCCCUCAGGAUGGAGGUACAGACCACCACCAUGUGUGUGUCAGUCAGCCUCAGUGGCUCCGUGGUGCUUGGUUGUCUCUUCGCACCCAAGCUGCACAUCAUCCUCUUCCAGCCAC
Non-coding RNA from Sus scrofa (pig), 8179 nucleotides. The record is from RefSeq and is a predicted model, not a curated record. Lineage: Eukaryota; Metazoa; Chordata; Mammalia; Artiodactyla; Suidae.